CACGUAGGGGGCAAGCGUUGUCCGGAUUUACUGAGCGUAAAGAGCUCGUAGGCGGUUCGGCAAGUCGGGUGUGACAACUCCAGGCUCAACCUGGAGAGGUCACUCGAUACUGCUGUGACUAGAGUCCGGUAGGGGAGCAUGGAAUUCCCGGUGUAGCGGUGAAAUGCGCAGAUAUCGGGAGGAACACCAGUGGCGAAGGCGGUGCUCUGGGCCGGAACUGACGCUGAGGAGCGAAAGCGUGGGUAGCAAACAGG
RNAcentral lists this ribosomal RNA (254 nucleotides) under uncultured bacterium. RNAcentral's name for it is "partial 16S ribosomal RNA". It matches the Rfam family "Bacterial small subunit ribosomal RNA", at positions 524 to 776 of the family's 1533-position model. The record is from RNAcentral.